GGACCCGUAGCUCAGCCAGGACGGAGCGCCGGCCUCCGGAGCCGGCGGUCCCGGGUUCAAAUCCCGGCGGGUCCG
RNAcentral lists this transfer RNA (75 nucleotides) under Saccharolobus islandicus. Its description in RNAcentral is "Sulfolobus islandicus tRNA-Arg". It matches the Rfam family "tRNA". From Rfam's summary of the family: Transfer RNA (tRNA) molecules are approximately 80 nucleotides in length. Their secondary structure includes four short double-helical elements and three loops (D, anti-codon, and T loops). The record is from RNAcentral. Lineage: Archaea; Thermoproteati; Thermoproteota; Thermoprotei; Sulfolobales; Sulfolobaceae. RNAcentral also lists the same sequence under 3 other names.